GAGCGGCGAACGGGUGAGUAACACGUGAGUAACCUGCCCUAGGCUUUGGGAUAACCCUCGGAAACGGGGGCUAAUACCGGAUAUUCAUGCUGGACGGCAUCGUCUGGUGUGGAAAGUUUUUCGGCCUGGGAUGGGCUCGCGGCCUAUCAGCUUGUUGGUGGGGUGAUGGCCUACCAAGGCGACGACGGGUAGCCGGCCUGAGAGGGCGACCGGCCACACUGGGACUGAGACACGGCCCAGACUCCUACGGGAGGCAGCAGUGGGGAAUAUUGCACAAUGGGCGGAAGCCUGAUGCAGCGACGCCGCGUGAGGGAUGAAGGCCUUCGGGUUGUAAACCUCUUUCGACAGGGACGAAGCGCGAGUGACGGUACCUGGAGAAGAAGCGCCGGCCAACUACGUGCCAGCAGCCGCGGUAAGACGUAGGGCGCGAGCGUUGUCCGGAUUUAUUGGGCGUAAAGAGCUCGUAGGCGGCUUGUUGCGUCAGCUGUGAAAACCCGCAGCUCAACUGUGGGCUUGCAGCUGAUACGGGCAGGCUUGAGUUCGGUAGGGGAGACUGGAAU
This 560-nucleotide ribosomal RNA is filed under the name Dactylosporangium sp. 434F12. RNAcentral describes it as "bacterial SSU rRNA". It matches the Rfam family "Bacterial small subunit ribosomal RNA", at positions 93 to 667 of the family's 1533-position model. Lineage: Bacteria; Bacillati; Actinomycetota; Actinomycetes; Micromonosporales; Micromonosporaceae. The record is from RNAcentral.